UACGUAGGUGACAAGCGUUAUCCGGAUUUACUGGGUGUAAAGGGCGUGUAGGCGGCUUUGCAAGUCAGAAGUGAAAUUCCCGGGCUUAACCUGGGCGCUGCUUCUGAAACUGUAAAGCUUGAGUACUGGAGGGGAAAGCGGAAUUCCUAGUGUAGCGGUAAAAUGCACAGAUAUUAGGAGGAACACCGGUGGCGAAGGCGGCUUUCUGGACAGUAACUGACGCUGAGGCGCGAAAGCGUGGGGAGCAAAC
RNAcentral lists this ribosomal RNA (250 nucleotides) under uncultured prokaryote. RNAcentral's name for it is "partial 16S ribosomal RNA". It matches the Rfam family "Bacterial small subunit ribosomal RNA", at positions 524 to 773 of the family's 1533-position model. The record is from RNAcentral.